UAUACUGCUCUUAUUGAAGCAGCAGUGGGAGGACAUUAUGACAUUGUACAGUUGCUAUUAAAUAAUGGAGCUGAUCGAAGCACUGAAAAUAAUUUAGGACAUACUGCUCUAGUUGCAGCAGCAAGAGAUGGACAUGAUGAGAUUGUGCAAUUAUUAAGUGAAGAAGCUGAUCCAAAUACUUCAGUUCAUAAUGAGGAGUUAUAUGAAGCUGCUGAAAGAGGUGAUUCUACUAGUGUCCAGUCUGCACUGUCUCAAGGAGCUAAUGUAAAUUAUCAGAAUCCUGAAGAGGGUGGAGCUACUUCUCUUCAUGUUGCUGCAA
This is a long non-coding RNA of Amphimedon queenslandica, 319 nucleotides long. RefSeq lists it as uncharacterized. The record is from RefSeq and is a predicted model, not a curated record. The transcript has 4 exons. Lineage: Eukaryota; Metazoa; Porifera; Demospongiae; Haplosclerida; Niphatidae.